This 253-nucleotide ribosomal RNA is filed under the name uncultured bacterium. Its description in RNAcentral is "partial 16S ribosomal RNA". It matches the Rfam family "Bacterial small subunit ribosomal RNA", at positions 524 to 776 of the family's 1533-position model. The record is from RNAcentral.
UACAGAGGUCCCAAGCGUUGUUCGGAUUCAUUGGGCGUAAAGGGUGUGUAGGUGGCGCCGUAAGUCGGGUGUGAAAUUUCGGAGCUUAACUCCGAACCUGCAUUCGAUACUGCGGUGCUUGAGGACUGGAGAGGAGAUUGGAAUUCAUGGUGUAGCAGUGAAAUGCGUAGAGAUCAUGAGGAAGACCAGUGGCGAAGGCGGGUCUCUGGACAGUUCCUGACACUGAGGCACGAAGGCCAGGGGAGCAAACGGG